This 400-nucleotide ribosomal RNA is filed under the name uncultured bacterium. Its description in RNAcentral is "bacterial SSU rRNA". It matches the Rfam family "Bacterial small subunit ribosomal RNA", at positions 355 to 747 of the family's 1533-position model. The record is from RNAcentral.
UGGGGAAUAUUGGACAAUGGGGGCAACCCUGAUCCAGCGAUGCCGCGUGUGUGAAGAAGGCCUGAGGGUUGUAAAGCACUUUAGUUGGGGAAGAGAUUACAGAGUUUAAGAGAUACUGUAUGAGACAUGAACCAAAGAAUAAGCACCGGCUAACUCCGUGCCAGCAGCCGCGGUAAUACGGAGGGUGCAAGCGUUAAUCGGAAUGAUUGGGCGUAAAGAGCGCGUAGGUGGUUUGCUAUGUGUGUUGUGAAAUACUUGGGCUUAACCUGGGGAUGUCAACACAAACGGGCGAACUAGAGUGAAGUAGAGGGUUGUGGAAUUUCCGGUGUAGCGGUGAAAUGCGUAGAGAUCGGAAGGAACACCAGUGGCGAAGGCGACAACCUGGGCUUUAACUGACACU